AACGUAGGUGGCGAGCGUUAUCCGGAUUUACUGGGCGUAAAGGGUGUGCAGGCGGGGUAUCAAGUGGUGUAUGAAAGGGCGCGGCUCAACUGCGCUAGGUUAUGCCAGACUGAUGCUCUGGAGGACCAAACAGGGCUGUGGAAUUCCGGGUGUAGCGGUGGAAUGCGUAGAGAUCCGGAAGAACACCGGUGGCGAAGGCGGUCUGCUGGGCAGUAGCUGGACACUGAGGCGCGACAGCGUGGGGAGCAAACAGG
This 254-nucleotide ribosomal RNA is filed under the name uncultured bacterium. RNAcentral's name for it is "partial 16S ribosomal RNA". It matches the Rfam family "Bacterial small subunit ribosomal RNA", at positions 524 to 776 of the family's 1533-position model. The record is from RNAcentral.